CCUACGGGUGACUGCAGUGGGGGAUAUUGCACAAUGGGGGGAACCCUGAUGCAGCGACGCCGCGUGGGUGAAGAAGAGCCUCGGCGCGUAAAGCCCUGUCAGCAGGGAAGAAAAUGACGGUACCUGAAGAAGAAGCCCCGGCUAACGACGUGCCAGCAGCCGCGGUAAUACGUAGGGGGCAAGCGUUAUCCGGAUUUACUGGGUGUACCGGGGGCAAAGCCGGCGAUGCAAGCCAGGAGUGAAAGCCCGGGGCCCAACCCCGGGACUGCUCUUGGAACUGCGUGGCUGGAGUGCAGGAGGGGCAGGCGGACUUCCUGUUGUCGCGGUGCACUGCGUAGCUAUC
This 343-nucleotide ribosomal RNA is filed under the name uncultured bacterium. RNAcentral describes it as "partial 16S ribosomal RNA". It matches the Rfam family "Bacterial small subunit ribosomal RNA", at positions 338 to 698 of the family's 1533-position model. The record is from RNAcentral.